Eptesicus fuscus (big brown bat) is the source of this 983-nucleotide long non-coding RNA. RefSeq lists it as uncharacterized. The record is from RefSeq and is a predicted model, not a curated record. Lineage: Eukaryota; Metazoa; Chordata; Mammalia; Chiroptera; Vespertilionidae. The transcript has 3 exons.
UCGGAAAGCCUGGGGCCGGUGGGCUUCCGGGACCGCAAUUCCCAGCAGGGAGUUCGCGGCCCAGCGCUGACCCGCAGGACCAGAACGGUCCCGGUGGGUGCAGAGGUACCCGCGGGAGCCCGCAGGUCUGGGCUGUCCUCUCCGCACAGUGGUGGCACCGCGAGGUCAAUGCUGGGGGAUGCUCUCCAUCGGUCACCCUGGAGGCCGGGACUGGCCUGACAACUUCCACAGCCUGGAGCCAGACCACCGAGGGCCCUCCAGGGGAGCCAGCUUAGUUUUAAGCACCUGCUCAGUUCCAGGCUCUGUGCGGGACACAUGCCACUCUGUCUUCAGGGAGCCUCCAGGUCCGUGUGGGAGAAAGACAUGCGACACGACUUGAUUCCAACAAACUGGAUCCAUCUGAAUAACUUCUUUGAGGUUUCCCAUGUUUGAAGUGGAUAUUAAAGUGUUCCAGUCCUUAGAGAGCUCUUUAAAAUGCAACUCUUGUUUACCUGCACUUUAUCGUAAUUAUAACUCGGUUGCAGAGACAGAAGGCUCACGCAACCAACUGUUCUGUCAAAUGCAAAUUUUGUAUGGGAAAUACUUCUGGGAGAAAAUAGAGCGGCCAUCAUGCGAGAAGUUAUUUUUAAAGGACUAUACCAAAUGUCUCCUGUACUUGAAAGUUUUAUCAAAAAUUUCAAUGAAUAGAGGAACCUUUGUGGGAGAUCAACACAAGCACACAUUGAGAUAGAUAGAUGCCCUCCUCAAAAUGUAACCAGAGUUUCAUAUAUAAAUUAUGAAACACCAAACAUAAAUAGCACAAUGUUUGUUUAUAUACACUCUUAAUAUUGACACGUGGGUUUACUUUUGAUACUCAUCUUCAUUUCAUCUCUAACACAAGAUUAAACUAAGGUGGUAAAACUAACUUUUCAGGUAGUAUUGCUGCAUAACAAACCACCCCAAAUUUGGAUGGUGUAAUAAAGCAGUGAUUUAUUCUUGUUCAU